Molecule: ribosomal RNA, 1475 nt
Filed under: metagenome
Description: bacterial LSU rRNA
Rfam family: Bacterial large subunit ribosomal RNA
Source: RNAcentral
AACAGGUGGAGAUUCCUGUACUGCGGUAUGACAGAACUGUGGGGACACGUAAGGAAAGCGGAAGCCGGGAAUGGAAAGCCCGGUGCAAGCGGGGUACCAGUCACUCUGGCAAAUCCGGGUGGCAAUGGGAAGCCGUGAUGCGGAGCGAAAUAAAGUAGCGAAGUCCGUGAGCCAUGCGUCAAGAAAAGCCGCUAUCGUUUAUACCGUACCCGUACCGUAAACCGACACAGGUGGAUGAGGAGAGAAUCCUAAGGCCGGCGGAAGAAGCAUUGUCAAGGAACUCGGCAAAAUGGCCCCGUAACUUAGGGAUAAGGGGUGCCUGGGAAACCAGGCCGCAGAGAAUAGGCUCAAGCAACUGUUUAGCAAAAACACAGGUCUAUGCGAAACCGAAAGGUGAGGUAUAUGGGCUGACGCCUGCCCGGUGCUGGAAGGUUAAGAGGAGAGGUUAGCGCAAGCGAAGCUUUGAAUUUAAGCCCCAGUAAACGGCGGCCGUAACGAUAACGGUCCUAAGGUAGCGAAAUUCCUUGUCGGGUAAGUUCCGACCCGCACGAAAGGCGUAAUGAUUUGAGCGCUGUCUCGACAAUGCAUCCGGUGAAAUUGAAGUACCAGUGAAGAUGCUGGUUACCUGCGCCAGGACGGAAAGACCCCAUGGAGCUUUACUCCAGUUUGGUACUGGGACUCGGUAUUGCAUGUACAGGAUAGGUGGGAGGCUAGGAGAUAGUAACGCCAGUUAUUAUGGAGCCGCUGUUGGGAUACCACCCUUGCAGUAUUGGGUUUCUAACCAGCCGCCGUGACCCGGCGGUGGGACAAUGCCAGACGGGGAGUUUGACUGGGGCGGUCGCCUCCGAAAGGGUAUCGGAGGCGCCCAAAAGGUUCCCUCAGAAUGGACGGAAACCAUUGAAGAGUGCAAAGGCAGAAGGGAGCUUGACUGCGACACCGACGGGUGGAGCAGGUACGAAAGUAGGGCUUAGUGAUCCGGUGGUAUUAAGUGGGAAUGCCAUUGCUCAACGGAUAAAAGCUACCCUGGGAUAACAUGCUUAUCACUCCCAAGAGUUCACAUCGACGGAGUGGUUUGGCACCUCGAUGUCGGCUCAUCGCAUCCUGGGGCUGUAGUAGGUCCCAAGGGUUGGGCUGUUCGCCCAUUAAAGCGGUCGCGAGCUGGGUUCAGAACGUCGUGAGACAGUUCGGUCCCUAUCCGGCGUGGGCGUAGGAUAUCUGAGAGGAGCUGUCCUUAGUACGAGAGGACCGGGAUGGACGGGCCGCUGGUGCAUCGGUUAGACUGCCAAGUCUACGGCCGAGUAGCCAAGCCCGGAAGGGAUAAACGCUGAAGGCAUCUAAGCGUGAAGCCCCCCUUAAGAUGAGAUAUCCCAUUCGAAAGAAGUAAACCCCCUUGAAGACGACGAGGUAGAUAGGGCAGAGGUGGAAGUGUGGCAACACAUGGAGCUGACUGUUACUAAUCGGGUGAGGGCUUGAUC